RNAcentral lists this unclassified non-coding RNA (245 nucleotides) under uncultured fungus. RNAcentral describes it as "partial contains 5.8S ribosomal RNA, internal transcribed spacer 2, and large subunit ribosomal RNA". The stretch from base 1 to 52 matches the Rfam family "5.8S ribosomal RNA", at positions 103 to 154 of the family's 154-position model. Lineage: Eukaryota; Fungi. The record is from RNAcentral.
AACGCACAUUGCGCCCGCCAGUAUUCUGGCGGGCAUGCCUGUUCGAGCGUCAUUUCAACCCUCAAGUCCUGCUUGGCGUUGGGGCCCUACGGCUGCCGUAGGCCCUGAAAAUUAGUGGCGGGCUCGCUAGGACUCCGAGCGUAGUAGCGUAUCCUCGCUCGCGGCGUCCCGGCGCGCGCCGGCCGUGAAACCCCCCACAUCUCAAGGUUGACCUCGGAUCAGGUAGGAAUACCCGCUGAACUUAA